RNAcentral lists this long non-coding RNA (15590 nucleotides) under Phoenix dactylifera (date palm). RNAcentral describes it as "long non-coding RNA (PDAC_LNC005700)". The record is from RNAcentral. Lineage: Eukaryota; Viridiplantae; Streptophyta; Magnoliopsida; Arecales; Arecaceae.
UUUGUGUUUGAGGUAUUCUGAUUGUUUAGCAUGUCCAUUUUAUUCUUUGGAUUAUUUAUUGUUCAUACUUAUCUUAGCAACUUAUGGACACUUUCAAAAGUGAGUUUUCUGCUGCACAUAUUUUGUAAAUUUUGAAAAAUUUAACUCAACCCCCCCCCCCCCAAAAAAAAAAAAACAAAGGAAUUAUUGAGAAUUAUCCAAGGAAGCAUGAUUUGGUAUAAUAGUGCGUCAAUAUUUGAACAUACAAUUUAACUUAGGUUGCUACAUUAAACUAAUGGCCUAAACUUUAGCCUAUGCACACAGAUAUAUCUACCAAUUUGUAAGGUAGAUAGUAUCACUCUAAUACUUUUUUUUUUUAAAUCUCUAAAUACCUCACAGCCAUCAUAUUGAGAGAAAUGCUGCAGUUUGAGGAAGCAUGGAGCAGGAAGAAUAUUCUUUUUGACAAAAAAAUCUGUAAACAUUAGAUUCCAAUUUUGAUUAUUUUAUGAAUAAUAAUUUUAAGAUUAAAAAUAUUUUACUAUUUAAUUAUUAUAGAUUGGAUUUAUAUUAAAAUUUAUUAUUUUUUUAAGUUCAAGUCUUCCUAGAACUUUAGCAUUAUUUUUUAUAUAUUUAUUUAUUUUAAAUAAAGGAUCCAUGUAUUGCACAUGCCACAUUGUAAUUAGAAUCGGAGAUAUUAGAACUAAGAUUUUUCGCAUGCCUUUCAUAUUGGAUUGGGGAAGCAUAGUAUGGAGAGUAUUAUUUUUUGACAAAAAAUCUAAAAGCCUCGGAUUCUAAUUUUGAUUAUUUUAAUUAAGAUAGUUUUCAGAUUAAGAUAUUUUAUUAUUUAAUCAUUAUAUAUCAUGUUUGUAUUAGAAAUAUCAUAACUAUUUUAUUACAUUUGUCUAUCAAAAAUUUAAGUCCUACAAGAAAACUUCUCUAACUUUUUUUUUGCAUUAUUAAUAUCCAGAGCAACAAAUUUUGUACUAUUUUCUAUAAGAGUUCGAGUCGAGUGAAUUUGAGGAAUUGCUUCCUUCUUCUCUCUUUAUUCGAAUCAUAGAAUAGCAAUACCACUAAAAUUCUCUUACCAAGAAUUCCAUUCAUGGAAUUGUGCCACCCAUUCUCGAGCUCUCAAUCCCACCACCCAAACAGGGGCUAUAGGGGAAGGAACUGAGAAAUUGGAUUUUAUGGGAUGAGAGUGGUUUAGCUCUGUUGCCAAAUGGAAACUGAAUAAUGCUUAGAACCCUCCUACAAUACAUUGCAUACUUUUGAGAUUUAUGCCCAUCUUUUUUAUUGUUUUUUUUUUUUUUUUUGUCUGAAAGCGGAUGUUUCAUAUAGUGCGUAUACGGAUACACCUAAAAAAGUCAAAAUACAACAAUUCGCAGAGUGCUAGUGGCAGCUCUCCCUCCCCUGACCAAAGAUUGUACCCUGAGUGGUGGGCCGCUAUCCAGUCGGCCGCCCCAUUGGCUUUUCUAAAUACAUGCUUGGCCUGAAAGACCCUCCCAUCUGUCAUCAUCAUCCCUAUGUUACGGAUUAAGGGGUGGUCUGUGCCGUCACCCCUCGACCCCCUCUAAAUCCACCCGAUAACCGUAGCCAUCUUUAUGUAUUCAAUGAUGCAUUUGGAAAGCAUUUCAAAUCUCAAAGGCCACCAUGUAUUAAAUUUUCAGCGAGAAGUCUAUCUUUGGAUCGUUAUCAUUAUCAUCACCUUUAAAUAAGCACCCCUAAACUAGUGGAGAUCAUGCUCAAAUAGGCACGGUUUCUCCGAUGGAUUUUGCUGUCAAUAUGCGAGCAUGGCAAUACGGGAGGCCGGCUUAAGUUGGCAUGAUUAGAACUAGAACACAUGAUUUAUCUCAGUAAGCGACUAAUGAGGUUUUUUUGGUUCAAUAAGAGUGACUAAAGCAUGGUUCCGCAAUGACAGAUCAUAGACAUGAUAUGGGUGUUACUAAUCAUGGUUCGGCACAGUUCGAGUACAGCACCAAAAAUUUCUGCUGUGGUUUAUUCCAACUCCAUAGCGACAUGUUUGGCGUUCAGAAACAAUUUGGAUAUUUCAAAUUGAGAACAAAAAUAUAACUUCAUCAAAAGUUUGAAAAACUCAAAUAAUUAUAUAUAUAAAAAAGAAAAUAAUGGACAUUAGAUUUUUAAAAAAUUGGCAUAUUUACUCAUGAAAAUUAGCAUAAAAAUGAAGAAUAAAUCCAUGUCCACCUCAUGAUUGAAUAGAUCUGAACGGAUUUGUUUAUUGAGAAUAUUUCAAAGAAUCAUUUGGAGAAGGAAAAGCUUGAAAAAAGCUGGGUCUUUUCGGCCACUCAAGAGAAUAUUGCUUCUGUUGUCCAUUCCUAUCCUGAGUUACCCAUAAUUCUCAUGUUACUUGCCACAUGGUUGGCUCAGACAAGAUUUCAUCGCCUACAUAAAGAGUUCUUUGAUAUACUUAGGAACAUAUGUUGCCCCAAAUAAGUAAUAGAGAGAGAAAAAGAGAGAAGCUAAGACAAGGGAGAGGCAUCAAAUCAAUAAUGGUCAGACAACCAUCUGCAAGUUCCUUCUGUAAUAUAGUGGAGAGAUCCACAGAGUUGCAAGGAAAAAGGAAGCAUGGAGAUCCCAAAUUUCAAUGUGCAACAGAAAAUAGUCAACAACAAUAUGAAGCCACUGUUUUGUUUGUUUCUUGAAUUUGUUUUAUUUAGUCUUUUAAUACUGCACCCUCACUGUUAUAUAUACAAGUAACAGAAUUAGAACAAACUCCAAUGGAGGAAAAAAAAAGAAAAAAAAGAGAAGAAAAGUAUAUAAUGCACACAGCUCCAUUGAGUUAACAGCUCCCAAGUGCUUCCAAAAUGCUAAAAAAGGAUUGGCAGAGAUCACUGGAGCUGUUAAAAACUGGGAGGAAAAACACUUCUAGUUAAGUACCUUUUCUUGGAUCAUCAACAUAUCCAUCCACAGGUCGUAUGAGUUAUUAUACCGGGUAAUGUUUAUCUAACACCAGUAAAAAAGGACCCAUAUCAUUCACCUUUAUUUUUUUCUGGUUUCACUAAUUUCUUCUCGCAAAGACAACCUUUGGGCUUGCCUGAAGCUGAAGAAGGCAAUCAUGCACUGUGGGCUUGGAGUUGUUCUCAAAAUCAGGCUUAAGUCUCAUCUGCAAUGUAAACAUUUAUUUAUGUUUGAUGAGUUUAACAAAUACAGUACAACUUUGCCAAAGUUGAAUAUGAUAUUGUAAUUCAUUACAAGGUAUGAUUUUAGCCGAUGGAAAGAACUAGUUGAAUGUAAAAAGAAAUUAUUCGUGAAUCACCUCUUGAUCUCAAGUCCCCUUUUUUUACAGCUAAAGGUACUCAGCAACAUGUCAUGCGCUAAUUAACUUAAAGAGGAGUAUUUUCAAUCAGGUAAACAACAAAAGCCAAUUAUGCCUCAUGCUCUUUUAAGCAUCGAUUUCAUGCCACAUGCAUAAAUAAUCAAACAUGUUAUGCAUUUCUACAUAUAAACACACCAAAAUGACGAAAAAACGCUAGUUGCAGCAUGCAAUUAUCAAAAGAAAGAAAAGAAAGAUUACUAACACAUGGUAUAUAUGAAACAUAGUUUGUUUUUGAUUUUGAACUGAUAACAUUACAAAUCUGUACCGAUUUCGGUCACAAUACAUGCAGUGCUUGUUGCUGCAAAAAAAGAAUUAAAAAAUGCAUUGAUGUAUGUAAUCCAUUCUUUGUUAUUAAAAUCUGAGAUGUCCCUCCAAAAAUUAAUCUAAAAUCACAAGCAAAGUUUCAAAUAUCGUGCAAUUUGGUCACGUACUGCUUGCUGGCAGGUACAGAGUGUUAGGUGAGGACCCAAUGACGACUUAGUUUUUCACUCUCGAACUCAAGUCGAAUAAAUCUAGACAUAUGUCGGACGACGGGGUUUGACGAGUUAUCCAUGACCUCCGGUCUGUAGGAAUCCAUGAUAGAAAUACUGUAUCAUACGAUAACUGCACCUACAGGUUCAUCAUUCUACUCUGCUGGGUAGCCACUACAUACUGCUAGGUGUCACUGGUGGAUGGUGAGACUCACAGGGACCAUUCUGAUGGUCGAUGAUCCCUGGUGAAAUCACAAAGGGGAUAAAGAUGAGCUCCUAUUUUGAAUUCACAAAGGGAUAAAGAUGAGCUCCUAAAAUUUAGGAGCUCAUCUCUAUCCCCACACCAUAAAAGAGGGGUUCAAAGGGGCUACGAAUUUUUCAUGGUUUUUCCUUGGGAUUUUUGGCAGCAAGGAACCUCCUUCCAUCCCUCCUUUCAGCCACAAGAAAGCAAGAAAAAAAGGCUUGUGGCGUGGCCCUUCUUCCUUCCAUUCUUUGGUUCCAACGCGAAGGGAAAAAUGAAAGACUGCGGGUUUUACAUUCUUCUUCCUACAUCCCUCCUUCUUCCUCCUCUCAAGGUAAUCAAAAGUUGAUUCAAAGGAGAGGAUAUCAGCCAUCAAAAGCUAUCUCUGCAAGGGAGCUAGCACCCCGGGAAGAUCCAAAAGCUUCAAUUGGUGCUAUACCUCGUGUGGAUACCUGUAGAGGCCGGAUGCGUGUGCGGCUUCCAUCGAACCUUCAACAAAUCCACGUAAAUCAGAUUUGCAGAGACCAUCUACCCGCACAAGAUGAAGAUCUGAUCUUCUUAAUGAUUUUAAAAUGGUUUAUAAGAAUUUAAUCCUAAUCUAUCUACAAACGACGGUUUUAAAAUACGUUCAUGCGAUGAACGGGAUCGCACAUGCCCUUCCGCUGCACAUCUAAAAAUUUUUGAAAUUUUUCUGCGGCAUGCAUCAGAUCCUAACAGUGGUAUCAGAGCCAGGUUAUGUAGAUUAAGAUUGGAAUUAAAUUUUUAAAGGCAUUUUAAAUCUAAAAUUUAAAGAAUUAUGCUUGCUGAAAUUUUCUGCAUACAGAAUUUUCAGCUUGCUGAUUUUUCUGCAUGCUAAUUUUUGAAUGCUUAGAUUAAUGAUUCUAAUGCUUUGGUAAUGUGAUUACAAAUAUUUAGAAUCAUAUCUUGCAUAAUCAGCAAGUCAUAAGAUGAAAUAAUCAGUUAAAUUACAGAUCUGAAAAUAAUAUUUAUGCAUGAGAUGCGUAUGGUGAUGAUCAUGGAUGGACCCUUUUGAAUGUGCUGAAAUAUUCUGCGAUAUUCUGUGAUGCUAUGUGAUGGCAUGUAAUUUUAAUUUUCAGAUGCCUGCGUGCAUCUUAAAUUCAUGUAUUAAAGACCUGCGUGUCUCAUGAAAAAGGGUUGUAAUUUAUUCUUUUAUUUUAUUUAAUUUUUAAAGCAAUCUGGGAUGUAAUCUGUGAUGUGUGUUGCACGUCGAUGGUUGAUCGAUAUGUACAUUAACAAGCUUAACAUGCACGGAUCGAAAUCAAGGGUUGAUUGAAGAUGGAUCAAGGAGUUGAUCACAAUUGGACCUAGGGAUCAAGAUCAAGUCAAAAGUUGAAGAUGAUCAAACCAAUUGACGUGCAUGUGAUUGUAAAAUGACCCCAUCCUGGAUCCAUGAUCAUCACCAUUUAAAUUUAUUUGUUGAUAAAUGCCUGGAUGUUUAAUGCUUAUGUCUAUACGGGUAGAUAUAUAUUUGCAUGAGAUGUGAAUAGUCGAUCGAGAGAGACCUAAAUACAAACCUUCUCAAUCAGUCAAGAGUGAACCAACAUGAGCUAGUCAUAUUAGAUUAAUUGAUCUAAUUGGUGUCUAGGCAGCUUAAAAGGUGGUUACUUAAUUAGGACCUUACUCUUCGAGUAAGGGGAACCUCCCACCUGCUUACCUGGCCAAUUGUUCCAUGCGAAACCAAUCACCGGCUAGUACAACCUCCGAUACCAAUUCGGAGAACCUUAAUUCUUGGAUAUUGCUAAAAGAAUGAUCUAUAUGUGUCCGUUUUUAAAAUUUAAAUAUGUUUUUUUUGAAUCCAUACUAACUAAAUAGUUAAUAGCACCAAGCUCCAUAAAAUAUGCAUAGAAGAGUAUAUUAGAACAAUAGUAAUUAUGCCAUCUUUAAGUGAAGCAUUAAAGUCGAUUUUAGAAGAAUUUGACAAACAUAACACAGAUCACCAACCUCAUAGUUUUGAAGUAAAUAUGCAAGCAAUGCUGAUAUUCCAUGAAUUGCAAACUUUUGUCCAAUGCAUGCUCGUGCACCAGCCCCAAAAGGAAGAAAUGCUGCACUUUUAUUUGGUUCACUUAUAAAUGGGCACUCUUCAUGCUUCUCAUGUUCCUCAAAUGUGCCUGCAAUUUCAUUUUGAGACAGAUAUUGAAAACAUUAACAAAUAAGUAUCUCAAAGAAAUGCUUUAAAGGAAUGAAAAAUGGAAUAAAUUCCAUUUCCUUUGAAGGGAGAUUGAAGUAUUGGGAGCGAACAUGCAUAAAUUAUAAAAUUGAAGGAGCCAAAAUGCAUGAUAAUGGAGGAGUUCUAUUAAACCUUUGUAAAUAAAUCAAAGCUAUAUCAUCUAAUAUUGCUUUGAUAUACCAGGAAUUAGGAAGCAUCUUACUCAGUAAAACUAUCAGAAAUAAAGCACAAUCCUUCAAACUAUUGGUAAAAGAAAUCAACCCCAUUAUGCCCAAAAGUAAUGCUCAAUCCUUAUUUGAUUUAAACAACUAAUACAGGUGACUGGCAUUGGUUGUUCUCGUCAGGUGCAACAAUUAUUGUAGCAUCAGACAAAUUGGCAAUAGCCUUUUUGUUCAUAGAAAUUCUUAAUAAGAUAAUUCUCAAAUGGUGAAAAAUCUCAGAAGACAAUGAUACAAAAAUGCAACCAACUAAAAGCCACAGAAAUAUUAUACUACCAAGAAGAGCAAAAUAUUGAUGUGUAGAAAAAGGAGAGAGAAAUGAACAUAGCUUUUGACACAAGAAUAAGAUCGUCUUAAACAACAAUAAGCAGCCUCCCACAAGAUUUUAGAAUUUUGGUUCAAGUCUUGGUUUUGAUAAGAGGACUAAAGUAUUGGCUGAAACAUGCUUCGACUGGGAUAGAUCUCAAACUGAUCAAAAAAUUCAGUUUCGGCCACCGGUUUCAACAGUUUCAGAUGAAACCAACUGAAGCUGCCGUUCUUUUACCCCAUUUGUUAACAAGUAUAUGUAUUUAUGUUUAAUAUGUGUUCGAUAUUAUUAAAUCACACGUUCAUCUGAGUCUCUAAUGAUCUUAUCUAUAUAACUUUUGUCUAAGUUAUUAUACUGGAAAGUCAAUGUAUUAAAAAGUGGAUAGAAAGCACAUAACAGCCAGGGGGGCUCCUAGCCAAUAGCGAAUAGCAAGUGCUAUGUACCCAAAGCAGGCUGUUGAAGUAUAUAUAUAUUUUCUUACUAAAUAUCAAAGAUAUCAACUCUACAUCAACUUCAUGUAAAAAAUGAAGAAAAUAAAGAAAAAUUUAAAACAACAUCCACGUAUCAUCGUAAUAUCAUAUCAACAUUUAUAAUUUUGUAUAAUGUAAAGGUACACGAUCUAAUGAGCAAUAUCAUCAUCCACCAAACAUAAUUACAUCACUCAAUAAAGAUGUCUACAAUAUGAUAACAUCAACCAUAGAAGAAAGAUGUCCACAAUCAUACAAAUAAUCCACUUCUCCUUAUCCUCUCUCUCUCUCNNNNNNNNNNNNNNNNNNNNCUCUCUCUCUCUCUCUCUCUCUCUCUCUCUCUCUCUCUCUCUCUCUCCCCCCAUGCUCCAAUUGAACAUGGGUAUGAAAUAACUAAACCAGCCCAUGUUUUAAUCAUCCUAUUGGACUAGCUGAUUGUUGGACCGCUUCAAUUGGAAAGUGGUCCAGUCUGCUAUAAAAUAAAUCACCCACUUCAAACACAGCAUCAUGGCUGCUACAGUGGGUUUCCCACUUCAUACUUGUGCCAUAUGGCACCACCAUGAUAUUUAGCAUAGCCUUCUUCGGCUGAAAGCGCUAUAGCCGCUGUAGCAGCCUAUUUUUAAAACAAUGUGGUCAAUCUGCAAACUUGAUAUAUCUUUACUAAUCAGGCAAGAUAGUUCGUCUUCUUAUUUUUCUUACUUAAAUGAGUUUCUUCCUCCUUUGCUAAAUAAAGUGAAAUAUUAAGAUGAAAUAAUGAAAUAAAAUGGGUUUUUUAUUUGGAUUGGUCCUUUUCUUUUCUUUGUCCAAAUGAAAUAGAGUAAAAUAUACUUAAAUGGGUUUCUUCUUGAUUAGAUGAAUUAAUAAAAUGCAACAAUGUUAAAUAUGCUUAGAUGUUUUUUUCCUCUGAUGAUUUAUAAAAAUGAAAUAGAAUGAAAUAUGCUUAGAGGAAAAGUUUAGUUAAAUUUUUAUGGAAAAUUAUAAAAAACAAAGAAAAGUAUAGAGAAAUUAUAAAAAUUAGAGAAUUGUAAGAAGCAGAGUCGCCGAGUUGGGAAACAAGUGUGAGAGAUCAUAUGAGAAACAAAAGUUGGUGAUUGAUAAGAAAUUAUACAAUUGGGAAAAUUGGUGGCAUCUAUAUAUGAUAAUUAAAAUUAUUCACAUAUUUAGCAUAGGAAAUAAAAAAGAUAUCUUACAAAGAUUAAAAAAAAUAAAAUCUCUACUCGUCGCCUAUGUUCUUUAAAAAGAAAAGAAAUAGGUAGCGAAGAUGAAUCUUUUUCUUCUAUUCUAAUGGGGCCUAGCUUCUAACUUUUUUUAGACAUGGGGUCCAUGUUGUGGUUUAAGGUAUAUUAGUAAUCAUUUUGAACUAAAACAAUUUUAGAUUGACAAAAUUUCUAAUUAAAGGACACUUAGAGCAAAAGUCUAUAUGGAAAGAUCACUCAUGCAAAGAAAAUCUAAAUCGAGGUUUUUUUUUAACUUCCUGUAGGUGGUGGGACUGAUGUGGUCGAGGCAUGUGGGGAAAGAGGACAAAGAGAGUGUGUAUUGGUUAUUUUCAGAAUGCAAAUUCAGCAUUUCUCAAAAUGCGCUUUGCACUCAUUUCUCAGGUUUUUUUUUUUUUUUUGUGGUACUAUAUAUUGAACGUGAGUACACCCAGCCAGAUCACUAGAAAGUAACAAAGACAAAGGAGGAGGAGCAUCUGAAUCAGACGUCCAUGGUAAGAAUAUUACAGAAAAAAAAGUCUAAACAUUUAAAGAAUUAAGCUUUGAUACAGUUUAAUUUCAAUCUGAGAUUACCCAAAAUACAUAUUAUAAUCCUAAAUAACUCAUAACACAAUAAAACGAUGUGAAUUAGCUUGUCUUUAUUUUUUCUCAACUUUUCUUGUUUGGAUCUUUUUAAACUUUUUUUACCAUAAGUCUAGAACUCAAGGUAAAAGUAUCAAAAUUGAAAUUACAAUGGUCAAGAAAAAUAGAGUUUUAUAAGAGAUGUGUAGAUCAUAUGUUAAUGAAUUUAGGGCUGAUUGAGUGACUGGCAGGGGUCGGUAGUCGACUUGUAAAAGUAUUUCAGGUUGCCUAUAUGAAUCUAUGCAGAAAUUCAGUGUGUACCACUAGAAAAAAGACAUAUAUGAGACUAAGUGCAAGUCAUCGAUACACAGAAAAGCACAGCAUAUGGAUAAGUUUAAGAAAAUAACAUAGAAACAAAAAUAGUAUGAAGCAAAAUAAAACAGGUAAAAUGAAAGAGGUUGGCGGAAAGAAAAACUAAAGAGACAGAAAGAAAAACUAGGAGGAAGUAAGAGAUGCAAAUCAGACAUCAAAUCCUUGAUGCCUUUCACAAGAACAGAGAGAAAGAAAACAGUUUAUCAUGCUUCUUGGAGUCUAGCAGAGGACCACAUAUGGCCUUCUCAGGUAAAUAAUAUCUAGAUUUUCCAGACCUCUAUAACGCAAAACUCAGUUUCUCACAGAUUCCUCUACAGAAGACACCUAAUCUACACAAAAUUAAAUCCUAAUGACUUCAGAAAUUUUCGAAUGUUAUAUAUAUAUAUAUAAUCUGAAAAUUACAAUAAACCUAAACUGCACCCAAUAGGCUACCAUUAAAUAAUAAGGUACCAUCAGAUGUAUGUACGCAGUAGUGGUGACACUAGCAGCAUCAAAACCCUAUUCUGCUUUCACCUUACUAGAUGAGUGGAAGUCAUGUUCCAAUAGAAUGAUCUUCCAGUCUAACCACUCAAAGUUGCUUACAUAAAGGGUUGGGGACCAAGUCUGUAUUUUAUUUUUGUAAUUAAACUUUUCCAAGCACCAAGAAAGAACACCAACAAGAUAGCCAUCCUUCAUGCUGCCAACCAUGAAAUUCUCUCAUUCACCAUUGACACCAAUGAGGGAUUUCAGCAAUGCAUGCUAUUUAUAUAUGAAAAAUAUUCUCUACAAAGAUAUCUUGCAUUAUCACAGCAUUGGACAUGGUUAAAGAUUUCUCUAAUUCUUUAACACAAGGUGAAUGCUAGGCAAGGGCACUGUAUUAAGUUCCUUCUUUAGUUAAUACAUACAUGGAAACACUCAAUGAAUUUUAACUUGCAAAUCAUAAUCCCUCUUACAUAUAUGAGAGUGAAACAAGGAGUCUAAUAAGUUCCCCUACUAAUCAAAGAUUUAAAUUCUUACGAAGUAAGUUGUAAUUCAUAAAACUUCAAAGAUGAUACUAAAAAUUUCAAGAAAUCAUUAAAUUCAUCUUUUGAUUAAGAAUUGUCAUUUUAAAUUGGAGUUCAGUAUUUUUCAUACUAAAGGCAUCUCCAUUCUGUGCAAUUUUCAAAUAAGUUGAAGGUGCAUUCCUCUAUAUUUUGGCAGAUACAACAUCAUCCCAAUAAUGAAUUUACUGACAAACAAAUUACCAUGGUAUGGAUAAAUUAAACACUUUUUUAUUAUAUAGAUACUUCGUUCAUGAAUCAUUGAAACUAUAGGUUCCCAUACUUAAUUCAAUUAUUAGUUUGUCAGCCAAUUGGGUAAGCUAUGUUUAGUUUUUAGUAGCAGGAAACUUAUACUUGAUGAAAAAGUAAUGAAACUGCAUAGAUAAUGGGAGUCAAUUUGACCGUAGAGAAUGCCUAGAUUGAUGUACUUCUACUCAUAGUAUAUCUCCUUUUCCCUCAUUUUAAAUGCAUAGAUUUAAUGUAUUUAAUGCCUAGAUAAGCGAGUCAAAAAAGUUCAUUCACAUAUCUCUUGAUGGUGCAUACCUUUAACAAAUCUGUGAUUGUAAGUGUUAAAACAUUAAGAUCAUUGCUCAUACCUCACACUUAAAAGUAAUCAAUGUCCUGUCUAUGCAUGUGGCUAAAAUAACUUGAUUUUGAGAAGAUCUAUGAUGAAAUCAAGGGCCUCAAUCAUUCAACCCAAUUUACAUCAUGAUGAUUUAAGGCCCCAUUCUACUGCUAGGAGAGUCAAUGGCAUGUAUUAGAAUGUUAAACUAUCAAACAACUCAGAUUUACUCAUUUAUUGAGUUUGUAUCUGUAUUUUUUUAGCCAUGGUCAUAAUCUUAGUCAUUCGGUUAUUUGGCCUUAACUUGGACUGGAGUCACUUGACCGCUGAGCAUUUAACUCAUUUGUCUGUCUAAUAUUCUUGAUCUCUUGGUUAUUUGGUACCCGAGUUAUUUUUUUUUCUACUUUAUUUGGUUACUUCAUUUAUAAAAUAGGUUAGGCUAUAUAUAUAGCUAUAGCAAAGCUAAAGGAGUAGUACUAAGUUAUAUGUGACUUUUGGCGGAGAAAGAAGUCUCUUCUCACAUGAGACUUGGAAUUCUACUCUUCACUCAUCUCCUCUCUCUUCUCUCAGCUUCGUUUCUUUCCUCUCUCUUCUUUCCAUGUGAAAUAUUCUCCUUAACCUGCACAAAUCUAAUUUAUUUUUCUGAGAUUUGAUUUGGGAUCUAAAUUCUCUUUAACCUAAAGAGAAAUAUGUUUUCCCUGAAAUUUGAUUUUGGGUCACAAUUGAACCUUCCACUUAAUAAUAAAAUCAUAAUAAUCCUUUUCCCAAUACUAAACCCUAUUCUCUGAACCCCAGGGUGGAGCAGAAAACCUAAAUAUACCCUUUAAUCCACCAAAUAGCUCACUUCAGUCUUGUUUUCUGAGAUUGGACAGGAAGUUCUUAAAAUGAGCAACACCCCUAAAUAUUCUAGCCUGAUGAACGCAUAAGCAAGCCAUUCCUGAGCAAUCCUGCAUGGAAAAUUUAGAAAGAGCCAACAAGUUCUAAGAUCUAGGCCAAUAUAUAUCAAGAUAUCAAAAUAUCAGAUGAAGAAUUAAAAAAAAAUUGAGAUUCAUUGAUGUUUCAAGGCACUGCUUUUAAUGUAUUGGCCAAUCUCUAGGGAUAUACAGAUUUUUAUUGACCGAGUUUAUAGGGCCAAGAUUUUAUUUAUCAAAUUAUUAGUGUCCCAUACCAAAAAAACUGGCAUCCUUAAACUUAAGAAAAAAAGAAAAACAAUGAACGCUCAUGCACACAGAUAUGUUUAUGUGCAUGUGUAUGUUUACAUUGUGUAAGUAAGUAUCAAAAUAUUUUCGAUUUCACUGAUAUAUGCACACAGAUAUCAAAAUAUUUUCGAUUUCACUGAUAUAUGUAUCUAUGUAUGUAUGUGUAGUACAUAUAUAUCUGCAAGUGCAAUCAAAGGGUCUGAGAAGGUGAGUCAAUAGCAAUCAAAGUUUCUAAGAUAAUGAGUUGCCGAUUUGAUGGUAAAGCUUCACAAAGAGUGGAACAGCAAGUCCAGAUAGGCUUAGUAGCAAAACUAGCAUGCAAUUUCAGCGCAAACUUUUCCUUACAAUUUAGGAAGAGAAAAGUCAGCAGUUAAAUUAGAAAAGAAAUUUGCUUUAAUGAAAAAAAAAAAAACUACUUCCUUUAGGACCAAAAAUUAGUUAUACUUUUUACCUUGGAGUAUAUUGAUAGAAGGACAACAUCAGAAACAAUAGUACUGGCAAGAACUACCUUUUGAAUCUGUUGCCUUAGUACUAUGAAGACUAAUAUAUCAAUAGAAGGGCAAAGUUAGAAAUAACACAUUGGAGUAAUAACUAGCAAGAACUGCCUUCUAUAUGUACUGUCAUCAUACUAUGAAGACACCCAUUUUGUUCAUAUAGAGAUGCUCGAAAUAGAGAAUCAGAAGUAAUUCUGGUAGCUGCAGUUAAAUGAGCUCCAUAGUAUCAAAGAAAAGACCAGAACUCAAGCUUUAAGGAACUUUAAAAGAUAACUCACUUGAUAUGUUCACAUCAGAAGUACAAAAUUCCCUUAGGGAAUCAAGAACAAUCUUCAGGAUACAAGAAGCAAACACCAGUUUAGAUGCAUUUAUAGUUUCCAUACCGCUUCCCUCGAUAAAAAUUACAUUUAUUUUAAGGAACGAUCUUAGCAAAUAAGCUAAUAAAAGCUAAUGUGAUAUCAGUACAUUAAAUUCAUGUUAACAUAUAUGCCUAUGGCAUGAAAGACUACAUAAUAACAACCACCAUGAGAAAGAUUAUAUUAUUGCAAAUGUUAAAGGGCAAAGAAAAAUGAAUCACAAAAAGAUACAAUGCAAGCACAACUAGGGAGGAAAGAGGAGCGAGGGGGUGGGAGGGGGGGAGGAAGAGGGCUACCUCCAUGGUCAAUAGCCUUCGACAAGAAACGAUGUGGAUUAAAGUGGCUGGCAUCCUUACCCCAUAUAGAGUCAUCCAUCUGCAGCAGCUGUAAAGGAACAACGAGCAUUGCUCCCGCCGGUAAAGUUAUACUAGAAUUAAGAAUCAAGUCUGUAAACAAGGAGGACAAAAUUACACACAUGACAGGGUCACCAUACAAGGGGCAAGUAAUAAUAGCAUUAAACUCAUGCAGCACUCUUUCUGCUAGUGUCAGUCAGAUAUAAACUAUUAAAGAACUUAAAGCAGCAAAAUAUUGAUGAAAAAGAAUAAAACCACAGAGAAAAGUUAACAACCAAGAAGCAAAUAUUCAAAUGCAGAACUUAGCACCUGGUCCUUUGUUUGACUGCCAUUUUAUGUUUAGUCCUGAUACAAUUAGCAUUUUCCAUUUAGUCCCUUGAAUAUAGUUAGACGUCUUUCCACACAGUUAUGCCUGUGUUUGUAUAUAACUGCUGUGUACACACUUAUGCAGGGACCAGGGAUUAACCACAAAAUGGCCAUCUAAAUAGAGACCAGGAAUUAAAACUUCCAUCAAGGAGGCCUAAAUAUAAAAUGGCAGUCAAUCUAGGAAGUGGGCCUCAAUUUCCCCGAUCCAAAUACACACAUUUUAAUUUGUGGUUAGAAGAUUAAAGCUUCCCGAGGCCUUUUGGCUGUACUUAACAUUUGCAUGCCAUGAUCAUAAAGCUGCACAGCAUAUUUGUAAAACAAUCCAGCAUGAUGAAAUCAGACAACAUUAUUGCACUAAACUUUGAUUCAACCUCCAGAUGUCUUGGACUCAGCACAUAUGUGUGCACUGCAUAACUCCGGAUAGAAAAUCAGAAGCCAAAUCCCAUAAAAUUAAAAUUCUGGUAAGACUACAAAUUUAGUUACAGGGAGCAUAUAACUACUCCAGCUUUCCAUGAGGAUUAACUGUCAUUACCAUUUAAAAUAGAAAUCUGAUUAUUGAAAGACCAUGACAAAGGCACCAAUUUAUAGUAAUGAAUUUUGAGAAUACUAAAAACAGAUUAAACAAGCAUUUAAAACUCACAUAAGAAAUCUUACUCUAAGUGAAGGUACAUUUUGAUAACAGACUGUAUCCUCAUGAAGGAAAUAAAAUCUUUUCAGGAUGUGAGCUCUUCGACUUAUAAAUAUGAAUGUCUACUGGUCUUAUGAAUUAAAAAACAUAAAAAAAGAUGUGCAAUCAUGCAUUGUAUAUUAUUCAGGAUGAGUCUCUCUCUGAAGUUGAAGUUGAGGAUAGCUAUGUCUCCCAAAUUGCUUCUUGGGCAGCUAGGCUGCCCUCGGACACACUUGAGAACCCAUUCUCGUAUAGGCAGGCUAGACCCGCCAAGGCAAACUUUGUGUCAAGUGAUUAUAUUUUUAGGCAGAAUGUCACAUCACCACCUAUAGAUAUUAUUAUAUCUAAAAUUACUCUAAAGGAUACUAAUGUAUGCAAUGAUUUAAACAUAUUAUAAAUAUGAGAUUACAAGCUCAAGUUAUAGUUAUAGAAGAUUAAUUAAGAUUAAUGUGUUAUCGCUGAUGAAAGUUGUAGCUCAUACUUUUUUUAUGAAAGAAAAUUACAACUCAUGUUGUAAAUAAUAUCCUGCAUAACUCGGUAAAUGACAAUAGCUUUCUCACUGCCAUCCAAAAGAAAAGUUAAAGCUCAUAAUAGUUUUUUUUUUUUUUUUAACUGCUAGGCAAAGAGGACAAGAAGAGAAAAAUGGUAAGACAACAAAAAAUUAGUUAAUGACAAGAAGAAAGAUCAUGGAAGGCACUCUCAAAUAAAAAGUGCACAUCCCCCAGGAUGGAUAAGAGCAAAAGUGCAAAAUAAACUUCAUGGAUAUCUAUGUUCCAUGAACUACAGGGACAGACCGAUGCUGAAAAGGCUGAAGAUGGCAGAAAGUGCCAUUCAACCAAGAGUCAAUCUAUAAUAGUUGUUAGCUAUUGAAGUUGUUGGCCAUUUUAUGAAGAAUAGAAAAAUAAUAGUGCCAAAAUAUUAUGUGAAGUGGCUGGUGCAUGUUUUUUCUUUCUUCUUUUUGGUUGGCUAUCUGCUUUUUUUGAAUUUACUACUUUUGAGCAUGUUAGAAGAUUUAUUUCCAUCAUUAUAAACAUAUAAUAGGAAUUAUUAUAAAAGCUCAUUUAAGUUAUGUAAGUAAAGAUUCAUAACAUGAUCGGCGAAACCGUUCCGAACUAUCCGGUCGGAGCAUACCGAGCCGUACCGGCGGCAGACCAGAACGGUUUCGGUAAACAAAACGAGAAACCGACGACGGAGGGGGAGAAGGAUAAGGAAAGAGAGAAAAAGAG